Alligator mississippiensis (American alligator) is the source of this 267-nucleotide long non-coding RNA. RefSeq lists it as uncharacterized. NCBI's taxonomy places the organism in Eukaryota, Metazoa, Chordata, Crocodylia, Alligatoridae. The transcript is spliced from 3 exons. The record is from RefSeq and is a predicted model, not a curated record.
GGUGUCACCCUGACCGCAAGGCUACAGAAGACUGGACAGUCUUUUAUCCCGGGAGAAAAAUAUGGGAUCCUUUGGAAAGAGAGGAAGGGCAUCUCAGGAGGAGGGACAAGGAUGGAGAUGCAUCCCUCUGCCAUCCUGCCUCGAGCACUGCCGCACGCGGGAGCCGAGGCCCGAAGCAGGCAGCCAGACAGGGCAGCAGAUGUUUGCCACAGCAGAGUCAAGGGCCUGGGACGCUGUGUGGAGGCAGCAGCUGCGGCUGCAGCAGGC